This 460-nucleotide ribosomal RNA is filed under the name uncultured bacterium. Its description in RNAcentral is "partial 16S ribosomal RNA". It matches the Rfam family "Bacterial small subunit ribosomal RNA", at positions 338 to 795 of the family's 1533-position model. The record is from RNAcentral.
CCUACGGGUGGCAGCAGUGAGGAAUAUUGGUCAAUGGGCUUACGCCUGAACCAGCCAAGUCGCGUGAGGGAAGACUGCCCUAUGGGUUGUAAACCUCUUUUGGCAGGGAGCAACGCCGGCUACGCGUAGCCGGACUGAGAGUACCUGAAGAAAAAGCAUCGGCUAACUCCGUGCCAGCAGCCGCGGUAAUACGGAGGAUGCGAGCGUUAUCCGGAUUUAUUGGGUUUAAAGGGUGCGUAGGCGGCAUGCCAAGUCAGCGGUAAAAGCGCGGGGCUCAACCCCGCUCCGCCGUUGAAACUGGCGUUCUUGAGUGGGCGAGAGGUAUGCGGAAUGCGUGGUGUAGCGGUGAAAUGCAUAGAUAUCACGCAGAACUCCGAUUGCGAAGGCAGCAUACCGGCGCCCGACUGACGCUGAGGCACGAAAGCGUGGGGAUCGAACAGGAUUAGAUACCCCAGUAGUC